GACGAACGCUGGCGGCGUGCUUAACACAUGCAAGUCGAACGAUGAAGAAAAGAAUUGAAGCUUCGGCAGAAAUUCAUUUCGGAUUAGUGGCAGACGGGUGAGUAACGCGUGAGCAACCUACCUCUUACAAAGGGAUAGCCUCGGGAAACCGGGAUUAAUACCAUAUAACAUUGCGACGAAGCAUUUCGAUGCAAUCAAAGCUACGGCGGUAAGAGAUGGGCUCGCGUCCCAUUAACCAGAUGGUGAGGUAACGGCUCACCAUAGUAACGAUGGGUAACCGGCCUGAGAGGGUGAACGGUCACACUGGAACUGAGACACGGUCCAGACUCCUACGGGAGGCAGCAGUGUGGAAUAUUGCACAAUGGAGGGAACUCUGAUGCAGCGACGCCGCGUGAGUGAUGAAGGAAUUCGUUUCGUAAAACUCUGUUCUAUGGGAAGAAAAGGACUGUACCAUAGGAGAAAGCUCCGGCUAAAUACGUG
RNAcentral lists this ribosomal RNA (480 nucleotides) under uncultured bacterium. Its description in RNAcentral is "partial 16S ribosomal RNA". It matches the Rfam family "Bacterial small subunit ribosomal RNA", at positions 28 to 507 of the family's 1533-position model. The record is from RNAcentral.